CAGUUCUCUGUCCAGAGUCUAGAGUAAUAUAUAUCUACAUAUGUACAGAGUAAUUUCAGUAUAUACAUAUAUAAUGCACAUUAUAGACCGGACCGGGUCCGUUAACAGAACAGAAAUGUAUGUUAUACACUGUACACUCCCUCUCUCUCUCUCUCUAUAUAUAUAUACAUAUACACACACACACACACUAAUUUCUUGAUUCGCGUAAGAAGAUAACAGAGGGACCAAAGACGAAAAAGAGAGGCGGCGUUGGAAGAGAAAAAAAGCUUUCUUCUUCCUUAUGAGUUGUGUUUUGUUCUUUUUAAAUUUGAAGUCACCACCUGAAUUCUUUCUUCUCACUUGGAAUCUUCUAUUUCUUUCUUGUGUUGUGUUUUCUUUUUUAGUUC
RNAcentral lists this long non-coding RNA (386 nucleotides) under Carica papaya (papaya). RNAcentral describes it as "long non-coding RNA (CPAP_LNC013833)". The record is from RNAcentral. Lineage: Eukaryota; Viridiplantae; Streptophyta; Magnoliopsida; Brassicales; Caricaceae.